Molecule: ribosomal RNA, 460 nt
Filed under: uncultured bacterium
Lineage: Bacteria
Description: partial 16S ribosomal RNA
Rfam family: Bacterial small subunit ribosomal RNA
Source: RNAcentral
CCUACGGGUGGCAGCAGUGAGGAAUAUUGGUCAAUGGACGAGAGUCUGAACCAGCCAAGUAGCGUGAAGGAUGACUGCCCUAUGGGUUGUAAACUUCUUUUAUAUGGGAAUAAAACGUUCCACGUGUGGGAUUUUGUAUGUACCAUAUGAAUAAGGAUCGGCUAACUCCGUGCCAGCAGCCGCGGUAAUACGGAGGAUCCGAGCGUUAUCCGGAUUUAUUGGGUUUAAAGGGAGCGUAGGUGGAUUGUUAAGUCAGUUGUGAAAGUUUGCGGCUCAACCGUAAAAUUGCAGUUGAAACUGGCAGUCUUGAGUACAGUAGAGGUGGGCGGAAUUCAUGGUGUAGCGGUGAAAUGCUUAGAUAUCACGAAGAACUCCGAUUGCGAAGGCAGUUCACUGGACUGCAACUGACACUGAGGCUCGAAAGUGUGGGUAUCAAACAGGAUUAGAUACCCCAGUAGUC